Molecule: ribosomal RNA, 500 nt
Filed under: uncultured soil bacterium
Lineage: Bacteria
Description: bacterial SSU rRNA
Rfam family: Bacterial small subunit ribosomal RNA
Source: RNAcentral
AGAUUGAACGCUGGCGGCAGGCCUAACACAUGCAAGUCGAGCGGUAGAGAGGUGCUUGCAUCUCUUGAGAGCGGCGGACGGGUGAGUAAUGCCUAGGAAUCUGCCUAGUGGUGGGGGAUAACGUUCGGAAACGGACGCUAAUACCGCAUACGUCCUACGGGAGAAAGCGGGGGACCUUCGGGCCUCGCGCCAUUAGAUGAGCCUAGGUCGGAUUAGCUAGUUGGUGAGGUAAUGGCUCACCAAGGCGACGAUCCGUAACUGGUCUGAGAGGAUGAUCAGUCACACUGGAACUGAGACACGGUCCAGACUCCUACGGGAGCAGCAGUGGGAAUAUUGGACAAUGGGCGAAAGCCUGAUCCAGCCAUGCCGCGUGUGUGAAGAAGGUCUUCGGAUUGUAAAGCACUUUAAGUGGAGGAAGGUUGUAAACCUAAUACCGUGCAAUUUGACGUUACCGACUAGAAUAAGACACCGGUCUAAACUUCCGUGCCCAGCCAGCCGUA